UCCCUGGUGGUCCAUGGAACCACACUGCACACUCUCAAUGCAGAGGGCCCAGGUUCGAUCCCUGGUCAGGGAA
This 73-nucleotide transfer RNA is filed under the name Ovis aries (sheep). It matches the Rfam family "tRNA". From Rfam's summary of the family: Transfer RNA (tRNA) molecules are approximately 80 nucleotides in length. Their secondary structure includes four short double-helical elements and three loops (D, anti-codon, and T loops). Lineage: Eukaryota; Metazoa; Chordata; Mammalia; Artiodactyla; Bovidae. The record is from Rfam by way of RNAcentral.